Molecule: ribosomal RNA, 305 nt
Filed under: uncultured bacterium
Lineage: Bacteria
Description: bacterial SSU rRNA
Rfam family: Bacterial small subunit ribosomal RNA
Source: RNAcentral
UGGUUCCUACGGGACGCAGCAGUGGGGAAUAUUGCACAAUGGGGGAAACCCUGAUGCAGCGACGCCGCGUGAGUGAAGAAGUAUUUCGGUAUGUAAAGCUCUAUCAGCAGGGAAGAAAAUGACGGUACCUGAUUAAGAAGCCCCGGCUAACUACGUGCCAGCAGCCGCGGUAAUACGUAGGGGGCAAGCGUUAUCCGGAUUUACUGGGUGUAAAGGGAGCGUAGACGGCGAUACAAGUCUGAAGUGAAAGCCCGGGGCUCAACCCCGGGACUGCUUUGGAAACUGUGUUGCUGGAGUGCUGGAGG